AGUAGGGCCUGCCCACUGAAGUAUUGAAGGGCCGCAGUAUCUUAACUGUGCAAAGGUAGCAUAAUCAUUAGUUUUUUAAUUGAAAGCUGGUAUGAAAGGUUUGAUGAGGAAUUAGCUGUUUCAGUAUUAAUUUUUUAAAACUUUAUUUUUAAGUUAAAAAGCUUAAAUAAUUAUAAAAGACGAGAAGACCCUAUAGAGUUUUAUUAUUAUUAUUAUAUUAAAUAUAAGGGAUUUUAUUAUUUAUUAUUUUAAAAUAAUUCAAUUGGGGUGAUUGGAAAAUUUAAUUAACUUUUCUUAUAUAAAAUCAUUAAUUUAUGAAUAAUUGAUCCAUUUAAAUGAUUAUAAGAGU
RNAcentral lists this ribosomal RNA (349 nucleotides) under Scymnus oestocraerus. RNAcentral's name for it is "partial 16S ribosomal RNA". Lineage: Eukaryota; Metazoa; Arthropoda; Insecta; Coleoptera; Coccinellidae. The record is from RNAcentral.